This is a long non-coding RNA of Amphimedon queenslandica, 324 nucleotides long. RefSeq lists it as uncharacterized. The record is from RefSeq and is a predicted model, not a curated record. Lineage: Eukaryota; Metazoa; Porifera; Demospongiae; Haplosclerida; Niphatidae. The transcript is spliced from 3 exons.
CAAGAGACCCUUACAAUGUUAGAGAGUGCCAAUCAGAACUUCACCACUCGUUAUAAAGGAGGACUACAGCAAGUGGCAUCAGCUUUUGGGAUUGUUGGUUUUAUCAGAUUCCUUGAAGGCUAUUACAUUAUUCUCAUCACCAAAUGAAAACUUGUUGCUAAUAUUGGUGGUCAUAUAUUGUAUAAGAUUGAAGAUACUGCCAUGCACUGUCUGUCAGCUCCUACUGGUAGACCAGCUCAUCCUGAUGAAUCAAAAUACGUUAAAAUAUUUCAAAAUGUUGAUCUAUCGUCUAAUUUUUAUUUCAGGUCAGUAAUAUUUAUAAUA